This 183-nucleotide microRNA precursor is filed under the name Oryza brachyantha (malo sina). Its description in RNAcentral is "MIR812 microRNA precursor family". It matches the Rfam family "MIR812 microRNA precursor family", at positions 19 to 190 of the family's 205-position model. Lineage: Eukaryota; Viridiplantae; Streptophyta; Magnoliopsida; Poales; Poaceae. The record is from Rfam by way of RNAcentral.
UUUUCGUUUUUCCGUGUCCAACGUUUGACAAUUCGUCUUAUUUAAAUUUUUUUUUGCGAUUAAUAUUUUUAUUAGUGCUAGAUGAUAAAAUAUGAAUAGUACUUUAUACGUGACUAAUUUUGUUUUGGUUUUUUACAAAAUUUUUAAAUAAGAUGAAUAGUUAAACGUUAGAUAUGAAAAAAC